UUGAAUAAAUUCGGUUGGGUUGCUGCUGGCUCCUAGGAGCAUGUGCACGCCUAGCUCCAUUUUUACCACCUGUGCACCUUUUGUAGACCUGGAUAUCUUUCGAGGAAACUCGGUUUGAGGACUGCUGAGCGAACAGCCCUAGCUUUUCUUACAUUUCCGGUCUAUGUCUUUACAUACCCCAUAUGAAUGUAACAGAAUGUCGUUUACUGGCCUUUGUGCCUUUAAUCAAAUA
Molecule: unclassified non-coding RNA, 232 nt
Filed under: Lyophyllum decastes
Lineage: Eukaryota; Fungi; Basidiomycota; Agaricomycetes; Agaricales; Lyophyllaceae
Description: ITS1
Source: RNAcentral